GCUGAUGUGGCUCAGUCGGUAGAGCAGUUCACUCGUAAUGAACAGGUCGUGGGUUCGAUUCCCUCCAUCAGCUCCA
Molecule: transfer RNA, 76 nt
Filed under: Clostridiales bacterium
Lineage: Bacteria; Bacillati; Bacillota; Clostridia; Eubacteriales
Description: tRNA-Thr
Rfam family: tRNA
About the family: Transfer RNA (tRNA) molecules are approximately 80 nucleotides in length. Their secondary structure includes four short double-helical elements and three loops (D, anti-codon, and T loops).
Source: RNAcentral